CCGGCGGCUUGGGGAAGGGUCUCCCUCCAUUCUCUGGCUAACGGUCUGGGAAAGGCAGCGGAGAGGAGGGAGGGGGAAGCGGAAACUUUCGUCUCAGUCUCGACAAAGUCCCUCCUUCUCCACGUCAAGCCAAUGACACCGCUGCCCCCGAACUUUCCGCCAGCAGGAGCUAUAAGAGAGUCCCAGGCUGCAACUUUCGCCCAACUCCCAACCAGCUCCGAGGAGCCCUCGGGAGGGGAGCUGACAGCGCCAGAGAUUCUCCCUCCUCUGCUGCUUUCUUUUCGGCUCCCCAUGGCCCCCACCUUCCCAUCCAACUGAACGUCGCCGCCGCCGCGUUGCUGCUAUCCUCCUCUGGACUCUCACAGGACAAGGAUCUAGCCGCGGGGAGCUGGCUGGCUAGGCAUCUCCCGGCCCAACUAGCCCCUUCCAAAGGGGGCUGCUCGGUGCGCCGCAGGUUGGCCCCCGAGAUGAUGCAGCAGCAGGACGACUCCAACUCUCCAGUCUCGCCCGCCGACGACAGCUUGAGCAACAGUGAAGAGGAGCCCGAUCGUCAACAGCAGCAGCAGCAGCAGCAGCAGCAGCAGCAGCAGCUUCAAGGCGCCGGCAAACGAGGGGGACGGAAGAGGCGCUCGAGCCGUAGGGCAGCCGCAGGAGCCGGCGGCGGAGGCCCCGGAGGGGGCGGCGGAGUGACCGGCGGGGGUCUCGGCUCGGCAGAAGAGCCGUGUAGCCCAGCACAAGGCAAAAGAGGCAAGAAGUCGGGCAGCGGCGGGGGCGGCGGGGGCAGCAGCAGCGGCGGGGGCAGCCCUCAGUCGUACGAGGAGCUUCAAACGCAGCGGGUGAUGGCCAACGUCCGCGAGCGCCAGCGCACGCAGUCGCUGAACGAAGCCUUCGCGGCUCUGCGCAAGAUCAUCCCGACGCUGCCGUCGGACAAGCUGAGCAAGAUCCAGACCCUUAAGCUGGCCGCCCGCUACAUCGACUUCCUCUAUCAGGUUCUGCAGAGCGACGAGCUCGACUCCAAGAUGGCCAGCUGCAGCUAUGUGGCCCACGAGCGCCUCAGCUACGCCUUCUCCGUUUGGCGCAUGGAAGGCGCCUGGUCCAUGUCCGCCUCCCACUAGCGUCCUGAGCAGCCUGGCGUGCCUGGAGACUUAGCCACCUACUCUGAGCAUCAUUUAGCUGAUUCCAAGAAAAUACAGAAUUGCUGAAUGAGACUCCGUGGGACAUUUCUCAGUAGCCACAGUUGGAAGAAAAUAUUGAACCAUGCUGUGGAUUCGGUCAGCUCUUUUUUAAAUUAAAAAGGCAUUUUUAAAACCAAUAGAAAGAAGGAUCUUUCUGGCAGCAAGAUGACAGUAAGACAUUGAAAAUUUGCCUCUUAAAAUUUUGACAACAGGAACAAGAACAUGCCCAUGAUAAAGGCACUCAGAGAAGACUUUCUCAGAAGAGUUUUAAAGUCAGUCUGGCUCACAUAAAUAGGAAAAAAUUCAAAUGAAGUGAAGAACCUAUGGUUUCCCAGCUGUUGUUGGAUCAUAAUUUGAGUCAUCCAUGACCAUUGGCCUUACUGGCUGUGCCUUAAAGAGUUAAUAUCCAAGAAGAUAUGAAGGGCCAUGGAUUUCCCAUCCCAAAAGAUCAAAAGGGGAAAAUAAAGUGAGUGCCAACUGAAAUGGGAAGGUUGGAUUCACAUUGAUUCUUCAAUCAAUAAUGGAAUGGCACAUUAUUAUAUGGGGUAUUAUGCAGAUCAUAUGGAAGUCGAAGCCAAGAAAUUAUGAUUAUAUACUUCAUAGUAUGUAGGGAUGUAUAUUUGCAUUCAUAGUUCUUUGGUUUAAUAACAAUAGAAUUUGGAAUCAUUUGUAUACAAUACCAAGUUUUUGUGGUUCCGCUGGAUUGCCUUCCCACAAUAUAUUGACAUUUACACCAGAAUAUUUAUUCCAUGAGUGAAAAUGAACUAUAUGUCUUGAGUAGCCUACAAUCUCUGAAGCCUAUAGCUAUAGUGAUCUGUCUGGAGAGUUGCUCAUUUCAAUUGAUACUAGUAAAUAUUGGCCAGCUACAAGUCUAUCUACCUACUGAACUGCUAUUCAACUGUUCAUGAAAUAAAAAGCAGAAAUAAAAGCUGUGUUCAUAACACAUUCUGAAUUUUGUGCCCCAAACUGUUCUAAUAGUUUAUUAUUAAAGAUCUAACAGCAUCUGCAAUAAAGAGAUAAACCAGUUGUCUGUCAGGGUUCUCUGAAGUCAUCUUUCCCCAAAUUUGAAAAGUGCCUCACAUAGCAAGCAAGAAAGAUGGCAUGCCCCAUUACUUUUCCACUCACCCAUCUCCCAUAGGUGAGAGUGAGGUAAUUACUAUGUGGAAUUAGAAGUGUAGCUCUUUUUAAUUCAUUUUACAUACCUUUAUUUCUAAAGCAAUGAUGAUUUAUCAGAUUCCAGAAGUAACAUUUUAUUAAUCAUCAAAUAAUAAGAUUUGGACCCAUUCUCUCCUAUAUGCUUCUUUCCUACUUAGUCUUUUGCUAUGCCCUCUAAUUUUCUUGUUGCAGUUUCUGUUUUUCCUUGCAAUUAUACACACUGCUGAUUGAACUGUACAACAUGAAAAAUAAUACCAAGUUUCCACAGUGGGAUUUUAAUCUUUUUACUUGUAUUAUCCAUGCACACAUUUAUUUUGUUGGUCAACAAAACUAGUUCAAAAAUUGAAUUCCUGCAUUUGAUCACUAAGCAAGAGUGAUAGUAUUCAAGCUGUCUAUUUUGUAAGGAUAAUAGAUCCAAGAAUCUGUCAAAUGGAAGUUAACUCCUAGCAGUGUCAGUGCUUUCUUGAUUCAUGAUCUGCAUGAAAAAUUCUGUGGUUUCUUUAUUAAAAUUUGGUUGUGUGCUACGGACAGCAAAGAGUGUUACUUGGCUAUAUGACCACAUGAGCUUGUUCACUAGUUUUUCUGUUCUGAAUGUGCUUGCCUAUUGUAUGUUGGUGGCAAAUAAUUCAAGAUAGAUGAAUUAUUGAUAGUUAUUGCUGUGAACAUAUAUGUUGAUUAUACUGCAUUGGGUUUGGUUUUUACAUUUAUUCUCAUAGUGCUAUAUCUACUACAGAAUAUAUACAGGAAUAUAUUAUAUAAAGAGCCAGUUUAUAUAAUAUAUUAAAUAAUAUAGCCAGGUUAUCUGGUGGUUAAGACAACAGGCUAGAAAGUGGAAGACCAUGAGUUCAAGCCCCGUCUUAGCCAUGAAAGCCAGCUGGGUGACUUUGGGCCAGUCAUUCUUUCUUAGGCCAACCCACCUCACUGGGU
Molecule: RNA transcript, 3257 nt
Organism: Crotalus tigris (Tiger rattlesnake)
Lineage: Eukaryota; Metazoa; Chordata; Lepidosauria; Squamata; Viperidae
Gene: TWIST1
Gene name: twist family bHLH transcription factor 1
Exons: 7
Source: RefSeq, a predicted model, not a curated record